GAUGAAGAACGUAGCGAAAUGCGAUAAGUAAUGUGAAUUGCAGAAUUCAGUGAAUCAUCGAAUCUUUGAACGCACAUUGCGCCCAUUAGUAUUCUAGUGGGCAUGCCUGUUCGAGCGUCAUUUCAACCCUUAAGCCUAGCUUAGUGUUGGGAAUCUGCUGUAUUGCAGUUCCUCAAAUACAACGGCGGAUCUGUAACAUCCUCUGAGCGUAGUAAAUUUUUAUCUCGCUUUUGUUAGGUGUUGCAGCUCUCAGCCGCUAAACCCCCCAAUUUUUGUGGUUGACCUCGGAUCAGGUAGGAAUCCCCGCUGAACUUAAGCAUAUCAUAAGCGGAGGA
RNAcentral lists this unclassified non-coding RNA (335 nucleotides) under soil metagenome. Its description in RNAcentral is "partial contains 5.8S ribosomal RNA, internal transcribed spacer 2, and large subunit ribosomal RNA". The stretch from base 1 to 120 matches the Rfam family "5.8S ribosomal RNA", at positions 35 to 154 of the family's 154-position model. The record is from RNAcentral.